UCUGCCGCCCUCCUGAAGGACUUGAGCAGAGGCCUCCUGGAAUAUAGAAGAGGUGCUGGAGAAAAAAGAGCAUCCUCUCUCCUCAGAAAAGUCCUCCGCGGGCCCCUGUGAACGCACUUUCUCGACUGUACGAACGGCCCAGCUCCACCUGGUUGAUCGAUGAGAACUGUGCAGUGCUAUCAGUUCAUGGAGCUUCUUAGAGUCGUGCAGGGACCACUGAGUCACAGAGAGCUCCAAUGGAGAUCCUAGCUCGUCCUGGCAGUCACCUCCUCC
Molecule: long non-coding RNA, 273 nt
Organism: Mus musculus (house mouse)
Lineage: Eukaryota; Metazoa; Chordata; Mammalia; Rodentia; Muridae
Product: predicted gene, 30370
Exons: 3
Source: RefSeq, a predicted model, not a curated record